CAUGGUGUCCCUCUCCCGUGGUCUCGUCAUGUUCCUGCAAAGAGAAAAAUAAGGAAAAAAUCUGCAAAACAUUGAAGACUCAUGACCCACUUUAAAAACAUAACUGGAUACAUCACAUGAACUCAAGACCAUGACUAUGGAGGAAGAUUUAACACUUGGCAACUCUUACAACAACAACAACAGCAACAGGGAAAAACAACAACAACAACAACCGAAGAGUGCAAAAAGAACUAAUGCAUUCUCUAGGUAUGCCUGGAUGGAGCCUCUAAGACCUAACAGGAUGUCUGAGAUUCCAGGGAAGUGGCCUGUGAUCUGUCAGUAAACAAAUAAGAAGCUAAUACAGCUUUGUUGUGUUUUCUGAUUGGCAUGGUUCUGAACUAUCUCCUACUUGUAGUUGCAGACAAAGAAACAGGAGAUGAAUUACCAUGUUCUAGGACUUUGUGUUCCUUUCCAAUUCAAACUGCAAUAAGAAAUAAAAAUGGUUAGGCUUCCAGUGUGUAGAUUAUAUAACGUGUCUCCUCUCUUUUGUGGUUUUGUCUUGUUUUG
Molecule: long non-coding RNA, 546 nt
Filed under: Homo sapiens (human)
Lineage: Eukaryota; Metazoa; Chordata; Mammalia; Primates; Hominidae
Description: HSALNT0108303
Source: RNAcentral